RNAcentral lists this ribosomal RNA (589 nucleotides) under Polaromonas sp. BvORHM094. RNAcentral describes it as "bacterial SSU rRNA". It matches the Rfam family "Bacterial small subunit ribosomal RNA", at positions 102 to 687 of the family's 1533-position model. The record is from RNAcentral. Lineage: Bacteria; Pseudomonadati; Pseudomonadota; Betaproteobacteria; Burkholderiales; Comamonadaceae. RNAcentral also lists the same sequence under 1 other name.
ACGGGUGAGUAAUAUAUCGGAACGUGCCCAAUCGUGGGGGAUAACGUAGAGAAAUUUACGCUAAUACCGCAUACGAUCUAAGGAUGAAAGCGGGGGAUCGCAAGACCUCGCGCGAUUGGAGCGGCUGAUAUCAGAUUAGGUUGUUGGUGAGGUAAAAGCUCACCAAGCCGACGAUCUGUAGCUGGUUUGAGAGAACGACCAGCCACACUGGGACUGAGACACGGCCCAGACUCCUACGGGAGGCAGCAGUGGGGAAUUUUGGACAAUGGGCGAAAGCCUGAUCCAGCAAUGCCGCGUGCAGGAAGAAGGCCUUCGGGUUGUAAACUGCUUUUGUACGGAACGAAACGGCUCUUUCUAAUAAAGAGGGCUAAUGACGGUACCGUAAGAAUAAGCACCGGCUAACUACGUGCCAGCAGCCGCGGUAAUACGUAGGGUGCGAGCGUUAAUCGGAAUUACUGGGCGUAAAGCGUGCGCAGGCGGUUAUAUAAGACAGUUGUGAAAUCCCCGGGCUCAACCUGGGAAUUGCAUCUGUGACUGUAUAGCUAGAGUACGGUAGAGGGGGAUGGAAUUCCGCGUGUAGCAGUGAAAU